Molecule: long non-coding RNA, 1255 nt
Organism: Nasonia vitripennis (jewel wasp)
Lineage: Eukaryota; Metazoa; Arthropoda; Insecta; Hymenoptera; Pteromalidae
Exons: 3
Source: RefSeq, a predicted model, not a curated record
CCUUUUUAUUGAUUAUUAUUAUUGAACUGUAAUACUUUGUGUCAUUUUUAUUGGUAUUUUUUUUAGGAUUGUAAUAGGAUAUUCUAAAAGGUAAUAAGUAAUCAAAUUCAAUGACAUAAAUGCUGUAUGCAUUUUAUAAAUCAAAACGACAAUUAUUCAACAGCUGAUAAAUGUGUUCAUGCGCAACUAAGUAAUACAAAAAAAUAUAAUUUGCAUGGUGUUGUAACUACUGCGAGUCAAGUGGAUAAGUUGACCUUGUUAGUUAAGUUGCUGGCAAUAGUGAAUAAAAUACUGUUGGAGAUUGUUGGAAAACUGAUCAGUGAUGCGUGUCUCAUGCACUAACUUUGGAUGAACUCUACAAAAAUUGUAUACGUUACUCAUGAUACUAGAAUUUUUGUCAAUGGAGAUAGACGUUAAUCUAUUUUAUAGUAUUGUUGGGAUCACUCAGAUGCGCCCUUCCCAGUGCUCGGAUAAUGACUGGAUCAAAUAAGAACAGGCUUUAUUUGGUUGACGAAUGAAGUAGAGAAGAUUUUUUAAGUGAAGGGAACAUUUGUAUAAUAAUUCUUUAUUAAUUUUCCUAUACUUAUGUCGAAGAAGUUAUAAUAAUAAGUGACAAUAGUUUUGGUUAUUUUUAUAAAUUGAGGAAAUGAUUUCAAAAGUGAAUAAUUUGAACAAACAUCUUGCUGUAACUAUAUACAAGUUAAUAUAACAAUUAAUUUAAAAUAAUGUAACAAUAUAUGAAUUAAAACUUUUUCUGAUUUUUUAUUUAAACAUUUAUUUGUGUACCAUUCUUUUCAUACGCACUGUAGCCUACUUAAGUGGACUAUAUUUUUUAGAUGAUGUUUUUUUUUAUUUUCUCCUUACUCCAUCAUUUUUGUAGAUACAUAAUAUAUAUAUAUCUUUACAUAUAUUUUAUUAUAUACAUAUAUCUUUUCCAUCGGUAGACAUCAUUUUAGAAAAGGUGCAUCAGGUAUUAUUAUUUUAUUGAUUUUUUAUUUUAAAAAACUGAUCUUACACAAAUCAUAUAUGUAUCGUACGUAAAUUUUAACUGGAUUAUUUUUAGAUUUAAUAGUCUUUUUUGUCUGCCUGUGUUUCUUAAAAUGAGUAUAUAUGAAUUAAAAAUUAUAAUAUAAUUCUGCACACAUUACACAUUACUUAGCUAUCAAUAAAUAUGUAUACUAGUCUUCUCCGUCUGUCUGUGUUUUUUAAAAUAAGUAGAUAAUGAAGUUGUUUAAUUUACACUACAGUUGUAAUC